CGUACGGCUCAGUAACACGUAGUUAAUCUAACGUAAAGAAAGGGAUAACCUUGGGAAACUGAGGCUAAUACCUUAUAGAUUAAGACAUCUGGAAGGAGUUUUAAUCGAAAGGAGCAUGAAUUGGAGUGUUUCCGCUUUACGAUGAGACUGCGGCGGAUCAGGCAGAUGGCGGGGUAAUGGCCCACCAUACCUAUAACCCGUAGGGGAUGUGGGAGCAUAAGCCCCGAGAAGGGCACUGAGGCAAGGGCCCUAGCGCUACGGCGUGCAGCAGGCGCGCAAACUCCACAAUGUGCGAAAGCAUGAUGGGGGGAAUCUGAGUGGUUUACGAAAGUAAAUCUUUUGCCAAGUAUAGCAAGCUUGGCGAAUAAGUGCUGGGCAAGACGAGUGGCAGCCGCCACGGUAAUACUCGCAGCACAAGUGGUGUCCACGAUUAUUGGGCUUAAAGCGCUCGUAGCCGGUCAAUGCCGUCUUAUGUGAAAUAUUGGUGCUCAACAUCAAUGCGUGCAUGAGAUACCCAUUGACUAGGGAGCGGGUGAGGUCAAGAGUACUUAUAGGGGAGGGGUAAAAUCCUGUAAUCCUAUAAGGACUAACGGUGGCGAAGGCGCUUGACCAGAACGCAUCCGACGGUGAGGAGCGAAGGCUAGGAGAACGAAUCGGAUCAAAUACCCUUAAUAGGUGUUAUUUGUUAGGAUUAUACGAAUGCGGAAGCAAGGACCUUAUAAAUUUGAAGACAAGCGAUGAUGAGCUUGCGGAAAAAUUUAUAAAGCUGCUUACAUCCGAAUUCGAGAUAAAGCCUGGCAAGUUACAUAUAGAGAAAAAAGAGAAUUUGAACGUGAUAACCCUUUAUAAUUCAAAAUUGAAAAAGCUAUUCGAUAGAUUCGUAGAAAGGAAAUCCUUUAUAUUCAAAUACCUGAAUGAAUAUUCAUCUGCAUAUUUUGCAGCGAUAUUUGAUUACAAUGGAGGAAGGACUAGCAAUGGCAGGAUUUAUAUCAAUCGUUUGGAUGCGGGUGAUUCCCUAUUAUUGGAAAAGCUCAACAUACAUUCAAAUGGAAAGAGUAAAUCAUUUAUGCUGAACCCUAAUCUGUUUAUAGCACUUAUAAAGGGUUAUAGCUUAAAGGUUGCACGUGUCAUUCAUUGAACCCGGAAACGAGCGAGACUUUUGUCAACAGUUGCCACCAGCUUAGAGAUAGGUUGAGCACUCUGUUGAGACCGCCUCUGUUUAAAGAGGAGGAAGGAGAGAGCGACGAUACGUCAGUAUGCUCCGAAUCUCCCGGGCUACACGCGGCAUACAAAGAUCAGCACAAUGGGACGCAAUGCCGAAAGGCAAAGCAAAUCCCCUAAAACUGACCUAAGUUCGGAUUGAGGGCUGCAACUCGCCCUCAUGAAGAUGGAAUCCCUAGUGAUCGCUUGUCACUAUCGAGCGGUGAAUUUGUCCCUGCUCCUUGCACACACUGCCUACCAAGUCACCCAAGUGAGGUUUUAACGAGGCGAUGCCAUUAGGCAUUUUCGAGUUAGGGUUUCGCGAGGAGGGCUAAGGUAUAACAAGGUAUCCGUAGGGGAACCUGCGGAUAGAUCACCUCAAAAGGGC
This 1588-nucleotide ribosomal RNA is filed under the name uncultured Nanobdellati archaeon. Its description in RNAcentral is "uncultured DPANN archaeon partial 16S ribosomal RNA". It matches the Rfam family "Archaeal small subunit ribosomal RNA". The record is from RNAcentral. Lineage: Archaea; Nanobdellati.